CAAGAUUAAAUUUAACCUGGAUCAAACUAUGUACAUAAAAAGGAAAAACAACUAAAAUGUGUCAUCAAGGGGAUUUGAACAAUGGUUUAGAAGGUCAGAUGCUGAACUUAACCAGGAGAGCUAAUAAUUUUUCAUUGUUUUUAUGGACAAAAUAAUAUUUAUACAGAUUUAAGGGGUUGCAGGUGGCACUCCAUUGAUGUACAUAGGUCCGCCACUGCCUUAGGGUUAACUAAUCUAGACUUAGAGUUUAGAGUUGAGGAGUGGAGUGGGGUUUUUGGAAUGUGAAAUUUAUUAUUCUAAUAAAUAUAUAAAUACUUAAAAAAUAUAUAAAUUUUUUUUAAAAAAAUAGUUUCAAACAUAAUUUUCGUUUUUCAAAAAGAAAUUUGAAAAAAAAAAAUAAAAAAAAAUCAAUAAAAAAAUUCAAAAAAAGUUUACAUUUUUUUUUUUUACUUUUUUUACUUUUUUAUAUUUUUUAUAUUUUUUUAUCUUUUUAUUUUAUUUUAUACUUUUUUUUUGCUUAUUUUUAUUUAAAUAAUAAUUUAUUAUAUAUAUAAAUAACAAGGACAUAAGAGUCUUUUACCACUUAAUGAAAAAAAGUAUUUUUGAAAAUGUCUCAUUAGUGGUGGUAAAAAUGAAAAAUGGUUUCAUGAAAGUGGUAUCAUGAAAGUGGUAAACAUGUAAUUUCCCCCAUAAUCAAUGCUGGGUAGUCAAUAGAUAAACAUUUUGAGGAUUUGUAGAGCUUUUAAGGAAAAUUAUAAUUAAGUACUUUAAGUUGUUUUCUAAAAAAAAUUAAAUAAAAAUUAAUAAGUGCAAUACAAAAUAUUUGUAGGUCAGUAGGUGUCAAAUAUAACAUGAGUAAUGAAUAUGUUUUCCAUAAACAAAAAAAAAAAAGAGAAUAAAUAAUUAAAUUUUGAGUGUCGUACGUCGUCAUACGAAAUCAGGAACGGACCAAGCUGCAUGUGUACGGUCGCCAUGGUGACUUUAGAGUGGACUGAUGAGUCAGUCACCAAUUCGACUUUUCCCUUUUCCUGAUUUGGCUUCUUUUUAAUAUAUCACGAGACCAAUAUCUCACAUUGUUUUUUUCUACCUUUUAUUUCAUAAGCAUCUAAGAAAAUGUGAACUUCAUAACUAAUUACAGGCAUAUACGGAAUAUGCCAACGGAUAUGCUGAUUAGCUUCAUAUAUACGUAUAGUUUCUCUUCUCCUUUAGUUUACACUUGUAAGAUACAAACAAUUUGAGACUAAAUAAAAAUAAAUUCUCUAGUAUAGUCUUUUUUUUUUAAUUUGUCACAAAAAAAUUUCAACGAAGAAAAUGACUAAAAUAAGUUUUAUUAAAAAUUUUAUCCUAGGAUUAACUAAUCUAGACUUAAGAUUUAAAGUUAAUGGGUGUGAAUUUGGAGAUAGAGUUUCAAAUUAAAAAAAAAAACCAAAAAAUAAAUAUUAAAAAUUAAAAAAAAACUAUUUUGGUCAUUUUUUUUUAAAGCUAUUUUUGUGACAAAAACUUAAAAGACUUAUUUGAGAGAAUUGUCUUUAAAUAAAUCAAAACACGGGGAAUUCUAAUAAUAAAAACAGUAUAAUUACCGUAGGGGAGAAAACAUUUUUCUUGAGAUAUCCAAGCAAGUAGGAGACUUUUCUGCAAAUGGAUUCAAAGUAAACACUAUUGUUUAGCAACUAGCCUUAGAAAAUUAUAUAUUAGUGAGUUAUCGAAAACAAAAGUUUCUGGUGAAAAGAAGAAAACUCCCCAAGAAUUGUGGAAGGAGCUAGAAAUAACACAGCUUUUUGAACCUUUG
RNAcentral lists this long non-coding RNA (1789 nucleotides) under Brassica rapa (field mustard). RNAcentral's name for it is "long non-coding RNA (BRAP_LNC003218)". The record is from RNAcentral. Lineage: Eukaryota; Viridiplantae; Streptophyta; Magnoliopsida; Brassicales; Brassicaceae.